AAGUACCAAUUUAUAUGGAUUUAGAGAAAUUCUACUGGAUUCAUGUUAACCUUGCUAGCAUCUGGGUGAACCUAAUUUUUCUUGUAGUUGGUUUACUUAAUGAUAAGCAUUAGCCCAUUCCUAUAUUUGAUUUGAACCUAAUUGAAUUUGAUUCAAUGGGUUCCAAUAGUUGGAUGCUUAAUUUAUGGCUUGAAUUAAAUCAAAAAAGAGUUUCAUGAUUUUAUUGAUUGAAAAUACAUCUUAAUUUGAUCAAGAAUCUUUGAAGUAAAUUUAUGAAACCAUGUGGAC
This 288-nucleotide long non-coding RNA is filed under the name Elaeis guineensis (African oil palm). Its description in RNAcentral is "long non-coding RNA (EGUI_LNC062173)". The record is from RNAcentral. Lineage: Eukaryota; Viridiplantae; Streptophyta; Magnoliopsida; Arecales; Arecaceae.